Molecule: ribosomal RNA, 233 nt
Filed under: uncultured bacterium
Lineage: Bacteria
Description: partial 16S ribosomal RNA
Rfam family: Bacterial small subunit ribosomal RNA
Source: RNAcentral
CGGGUGAGUAACGCGUGAGGAACCUGCCUCAAAGAGGGGGACAACAGUUGGAAACGACUGCUAAUACCGCAUAAGCCCACGGCUCGGCAUCGAGCAGAGGGAAAAGGAGCAAUCCGCUUUGAGAUGGCCUCGCGUCCGAUUAGCUAGUUGGUGAGGUAACGGCCCACCAAGGCGACGAUCGGUAGCCGGACUGAGAGGUUGAGCGGCCACAUUGGGACUGAGACACGGCCCAG